UACGUAGGGCGCAAGCGUUGUCCGGAAUUAUUGGGCGUAAAGAGCUCGUAGGUGGCUUGUCGCGUCUGCCGUGAAAACCCGAGGCUUAACCUCGGGCGUGCAGGCGAUACGGGCAGACUAGAGUGUGGUAGGGGAGACUGGAAUUCCUGGUGUAGCGGUGAAAUGCGCAGAUAUCAGGAGGAACACCGGUGGCGAAGGCGGGUCUCUGGGCCUUACCUGACGCUGAGGAGCGAAAGCAUGGGUAGCCAACAGGAUUAGAUACCCGUGUA
RNAcentral lists this ribosomal RNA (269 nucleotides) under uncultured prokaryote. RNAcentral describes it as "partial 16S ribosomal RNA". It matches the Rfam family "Bacterial small subunit ribosomal RNA", at positions 524 to 792 of the family's 1533-position model. The record is from RNAcentral.